AACUGCGAUAAGUAAUGUGAAUUGCAGAAUUCAGUGAAUCAUCGAGUCUUUGAACGCACAUUGCGCCCCCUGGCAUUCCGGGGGGCAUGCCUGUCCGAGCGUCAUUGCUGCCCUUCAAGCCCGGUUUGUGUGUUGGGUCGUCGUCCCCUCCGGGGGACGGGCCCGAAAGGCAGCGGCGGCACCGCGUCCGGUCCUCGAGCGUAUGGGGCUUUGUCACCCGCUCGAUAAGGACCGGCCGGGCGCCAGCCGGCGUCUCCAACCUUUUUUUCUCAGGUUGACCUCGGAUCAGGUAGGGAUACCCGCUGAACUUAAGC
RNAcentral lists this unclassified non-coding RNA (314 nucleotides) under plant metagenome. Its description in RNAcentral is "partial contains 5.8S ribosomal RNA, internal transcribed spacer 2, and large subunit ribosomal RNA". The stretch from base 1 to 104 matches the Rfam family "5.8S ribosomal RNA", at positions 51 to 154 of the family's 154-position model. The record is from RNAcentral.